RNAcentral lists this transfer RNA (72 nucleotides) under Bos taurus (domestic cattle). It matches the Rfam family "tRNA". From Rfam's summary of the family: Transfer RNA (tRNA) molecules are approximately 80 nucleotides in length. The record is from Rfam by way of RNAcentral. Lineage: Eukaryota; Metazoa; Chordata; Mammalia; Artiodactyla; Bovidae. RNAcentral also lists the same sequence under 1 other name.
UCCCUGGUGGCUCAGAUGGUAAAGCAUCUGCCUACAAUGCAGGAGACCUGGGUUUAGUUCCUGGGCCGGGAA